UGGGGAAUCUUGCACAAUGGGCGAAAGCCUGAUGCAGCGACGCCGCGUGAGCGAUGAAGGCCUUCGGGUUGUAAAGCUCUGUGGGGAGGGACGAAUACGCGUUGGCUAAUAUCCAACGUGAUGACGGUACCUCCUUAGCAAGCACCGGCUAACUCUGUGCCAGCAGCCGCGGUAAGACAGAGGGUGCAAACGUUGUUCGGAAUUACUGGGCGUAAAGCGCGUGUAGGCGGCUAUAUAAGUCGGACGUGAAAUCCCACGGCUCAACCGUGGAAGUGCGCUCGAAACUGUGUAGCUUGAGUCCUGGAGAGGAAGACGGAAUACUUGGUGUAGAGGUGAAAUUCGUAGAUAUCAGGUAGAACACCAGUGGCGAAGGCGGUCUUCUGGACAGUGACUGACGCUG
Molecule: ribosomal RNA, 400 nt
Filed under: uncultured bacterium
Lineage: Bacteria
Description: bacterial SSU rRNA
Rfam family: Bacterial small subunit ribosomal RNA
Source: RNAcentral